Molecule: transfer RNA, 73 nt
Filed under: Ovis aries (sheep)
Lineage: Eukaryota; Metazoa; Chordata; Mammalia; Artiodactyla; Bovidae
Rfam family: tRNA
About the family: Transfer RNA (tRNA) molecules are approximately 80 nucleotides in length. Their secondary structure includes four short double-helical elements and three loops (D, anti-codon, and T loops). Further hydrogen bonds mediate the characteristic L-shaped molecular structure. tRNAs have two regions of fundamental functional importance: the anti-codon, which is responsible for specific mRNA codon recognition, and the 3' end, to which the tRNAs corresponding amino acid is attached (by aminoacyl-tRNA synthetases). tRNAs cope with the degeneracy of the genetic code in two manners: having more than one tRNA (with a specific anti-codon) for a particular amino acid; and 'wobble' base-pairing, i.e. permitting non-standard base-pairing at the 3rd anti-codon position.
Source: Rfam by way of RNAcentral
UCCCUGGUGGUCCAGUAGUUAGGAUUUGGCACUUUCAUUGCUAAGGGCUUGGGUUCGAUCCCUGGUUGGGGAA